AUUCCAGCUCCAAUAGCGUAUAUUAAAGUUGUUGCAGUUAAAAAGCUCGUAGUUGGAUUUGUGGUUGAGCUGUCCGGUCCGACACUUUUGUGUGGGUACUUGGACGGCUCGUCCAUCCUUGGGUGGAAUCUGUGUGGCAUUAGGUUGUCGUGCAGGGGAUGCCCAUCUUUUACUGUGAAAAAAUUAGAGUGUUCAAAGCAGGCUUAUGCCGUUGAAUAUAUUAGCAUGGAAUAAUGAGAUAGGACCUUGGUACUAUUUUGUUGGUUUGCGCACCGAGGUAAUGAUUAAUAGGGACAGUUGGGGGUAUUCGUAUUCCAUUGUCAGAGGUGAAAUUCUUGGAUUUUUGGAAGACGAACUACUGCGAAAGCAUUUACCAAGGAUGUUUUCAUCG
RNAcentral lists this ribosomal RNA (391 nucleotides) under Tabularia sp. RNAcentral describes it as "partial small subunit ribosomal RNA". It matches the Rfam family "Eukaryotic small subunit ribosomal RNA", at positions 582 to 975 of the family's 1831-position model. The record is from RNAcentral. Lineage: Eukaryota; Bacillariophyta; Fragilariophyceae; Fragilariales; Fragilariaceae.